RNAcentral lists this ribosomal RNA (456 nucleotides) under uncultured bacterium. RNAcentral's name for it is "bacterial SSU rRNA". It matches the Rfam family "Bacterial small subunit ribosomal RNA", at positions 351 to 793 of the family's 1533-position model. The record is from RNAcentral.
GCAGUGGGGAAUAUUGCACAAUGGGGGAAACCCUGAUGCAGCCAUGCCGCGUGUGUUGAAGAAGGCCUUCGGGUUGUAAAGCACUUUCAGUAGGGAGGAAGGUAGUGUAGUUAACACCUGCAUUAUUUGACGUUACCUACAGAAGAAGCACCGGCUAACUCCGUGCCAGCAGCCGCGGUAAUACGGAGGGUGCGAGCGUUAAUCGGAAUUACUGGGCGUAAAGCGCAUGCAGGCGGCCUGUUAAGUCAGAUGUGAAAGCCCGGGGCUUAACCUCGGAAUUGCAUUUUGAAACUGGCAGGCUAGAGUCUUGUAGAGGGGGGUAGGAAUUUCAGGUGUAGCGGUGAAAUGCGUAGAGAUCUGAAGGAAUACCAGUGGCGAAGGCGGCCCCCUCGGACAAAGAACUGACGCUCAGAUGCGAAAGCGUGGGGAGCAAACAGGAUUAGAUACCCUCGGUAG